This 852-nucleotide ribosomal RNA is filed under the name uncultured bacterium. RNAcentral's name for it is "bacterial SSU rRNA". It matches the Rfam family "Bacterial small subunit ribosomal RNA", at positions 8 to 898 of the family's 1533-position model. The record is from RNAcentral.
AGAGGUUGAUCAUGGCUCAGAUUGAACGCUGGCGGCGUGCCUAACACAUGCAAGUCGAGCGGCCGCGGAGCAAUCCGCGGCGAGCGGCGAACGGGUGAGUAAUGCUUCGGAAUCUUCCCAGUAGUGGGGAAUAACUAGCCGAAAGGUUAGCUAAUACCGCAUACGACCUACGGGUGAAAGCAGCAAUGCGCUAUUGGAUGAGCCGAAGUCGGAUUAGCUAGUUGGUAGGGUAACGGCCUACCAAGGCGACAAUCCGUAGCUGGUCUGAGAGGACGACCAGCCACACUGGGACUGAGACACGGCCCAGACUCCUACGGGAGGCAGCAGUGGGGAAUAUUGGACAAUGGGGGAAACCCUGAUCCAGCGACGCCGCGUGUGUGAAGAAGGCCUGCGGGUUGUAAAGCACUUUUAGUGGGGAUGAUAAUGACCUAACCCACAGAAAAAGCACCGGCUAACUCUGUGCCAGCAGCCGCGGUAAUACAGAGGGUGCAAGCGUUAAUCGGAAUUACUGGGCGUAAAGCGUGCGUAGACGGUUAUUUAAGUCGGGUGUGAAAGCCCCGGGCUCAACCUGGGAAUUGCAUUCGAGACUGAAUAGCUAGGGUGCGGAAGAGGGAAGCGGAAUUUCCGGUGUAGCGGUGAAAUGCGUAGAUAUCGGAAGGAACACCAGUGGCGAAAGCGGCUUCCUGGUCCAGCACCGACGUUCAGGCACGAAAGCGUGGGGAGCAAACAGGAUUAGAUACCCUGGUAGUCCACGCCAUAAACGAUGAGGACUAGACGUUGAGAGGGUAAGCUCCCAGUGUCGCAGCUAACGCGAUAAGUCCUCCGCCUGGGGAGUGCGGCCGCAAGGUUGAA